Molecule: ribosomal RNA, 460 nt
Filed under: uncultured bacterium
Lineage: Bacteria
Description: partial 16S ribosomal RNA
Rfam family: Bacterial small subunit ribosomal RNA
Source: RNAcentral
CCUACGGGUGGCAGCAGUGAGGAAUAUUGGUCAAUGGACGAGAGUCUGAACCAGCCAAGUAGCGUGAAGGAUGACUGCCCUAUGGGUUGUAAACUUCUUUUAUAUGGGAAUAAAAUGUUCCACGUGUGGGCUUUUGUAUGUACCAUAUGAAUAAGGAUCGGCUAACUCCGUGCCAGCAGCCGCGGUAAUACGGAGGAUCCGAGCGUUAUCCGGAUUUAUUGGGUUUAAAGGGAGCGUAGGUGGAUGGUUAAGUCAGUUGUGAAAGUUUGCGGCUCAACCGUAAAAUUGCAGUUGAAACUGGCAGUCAUGAGUACAGUAGAGGUGGGCGGAAUUCGUGGUGUAGCGGUGAAAUGCUUAGAUAUCACGAAGAACUCCGAUUGCGAAGGCAGCUCACUGGACUGCAACUGACACUGAGGCUCGAAAGUGUGGGUAUCAAACAGGAUUAGAUACCCUUGUAGUC